CGCAGGCUGCAACCCGCCUGCGUGAAGUUGGAAUUGCUAGUAAUCGCGGAUCAGCAUGCCGCGGUGAAUACGUUCCCGGGCCUUGUACACACCGCCCGUCACACCAUGGGAGUUUGUAACACCCGAAGUCAGUAUCCUAACCGCAAGGGGGGAGCUGCCGAAGGUGGGAUAAGCGACUGGGGUGAAGUCGUAACAAGGUAUC
RNAcentral lists this ribosomal RNA (202 nucleotides) under uncultured bacterium. RNAcentral describes it as "partial 16S ribosomal RNA". It matches the Rfam family "Bacterial small subunit ribosomal RNA", at positions 1299 to 1500 of the family's 1533-position model. The record is from RNAcentral.